RNAcentral lists this ribosomal RNA (417 nucleotides) under Rhizophagus intraradices. The record is from RNAcentral. Lineage: Eukaryota; Fungi; Glomeromycota; Glomeromycetes; Glomerales; Glomeraceae.
CAGUCGUACCGGCGGAUAAUCAGCCUUUCGGGUGCGAUUCUGUGGGGCGUGAGGAGUUUAAUCACCCUCAUGUUUUACGUAUUCGUGCUCUUGGGUGUACUUGCCCGUGUGGUAGGUUAACAUCAAUUUUGGUGAUCAUAAAAUGACUAGAGGAAUGUAGCUUCGAUCUCGUAUUGAAGUGUUAUAGCCUUUGGUAGAUGUGAUGAUCGGGAUUGAGGAUUGCAACGGAUACCCCUUCGGGGGCUACCCGGUCUGAUCUCUGAAGGUUGCUCCGGUGCCGAAAGCGUGCUUACGGUCAUCGAAAGUGAUUUUCAAAAGGUUAGAACGGGUUAAAUUCGUUAAGGAUGUUGACGUAAUGGCUUUAAACGUCCCGUCUUGAGACACGGACCAAGGAGUCUAACGAUAUGUGCGAGUGUU